GGAGGAAUACACAAGCGGCUGAAGGGGUCGGUUUCGAAAACAGGUAGGAGACGCGAGUCUCGCAAGGGUUCAAAUCCCUUUUCCUCCGCCA
Molecule: transfer RNA, 91 nt
Filed under: Erysipelotrichia bacterium
Lineage: Bacteria; Bacillati; Bacillota; Erysipelotrichia
Description: tRNA-Ser
Rfam family: tRNA
About the family: Transfer RNA (tRNA) molecules are approximately 80 nucleotides in length. Their secondary structure includes four short double-helical elements and three loops (D, anti-codon, and T loops).
Source: RNAcentral